ACAGAGGUCCCAAGCGUUGUUCGGAUUCACUGGGCGUAAAGGGUGCGUAGGUGGUCGGGUAAGUCUGACGUGAAAUCUCCGAGCUCAACUCGGAAACUGCGUCGGAUACUAUUCGGCUCGAGGGUUGGAGAGGGGACUGGAAUUCUCGGUGUAGCAGUGAAAUGCGUAGAUAUCGAGAGGAACACCAGUGGCGAAGGCGAGUCCCUGGACAACUCCUGACACUGAGGCACGAAAGCUAGGGGAGCAAACAGGA
Molecule: ribosomal RNA, 253 nt
Filed under: uncultured prokaryote
Description: partial 16S ribosomal RNA
Rfam family: Bacterial small subunit ribosomal RNA
Source: RNAcentral